AAAUCUUGGCAAAAAUCAGGCGGAUCGCAAUACUCUCCCCCACUUGAAUUGGCAACGACCGCAGCGCCACACAUAUUUAGAAAGGGGAUUUGAAGAUUGUGCUGCCCAAGCUAAAGCAGCUUCAAAUUUGCAACGUACACAUAAAACGGCUAUGUCCGUAUGCUAUGACAAUUGAUCUACCAUCACUAGAGGAAGUGGUGUUAAAGCGGAAUUAGGGUUCGCCACUGAUGCUUCUAAGCUUAGAGAGUGCACCAGCACUGACCAAGCUCCAAAUUGAUGACCACAACUUAAACGGCACACUAGCACAACAAAUCUUUCGGCAC
Molecule: long non-coding RNA, 323 nt
Filed under: Nicotiana benthamiana
Lineage: Eukaryota; Viridiplantae; Streptophyta; Magnoliopsida; Solanales; Solanaceae
Description: long non-coding RNA (NBEN_LNC036561)
Source: RNAcentral